CUUUGCUCUCGCAGGCUCUAGGCGGCUAGAGAGGCUCCAGAGCGCCCUGCAGAUGGGUUGCUUUUCGCGUGCCCCUUGUGAUGGGAGGAUUAGGUCGCAGGCUCCACCCUACGUCAUCCUCCCAAGCUUCUCAAGCGUCUGGCGCUUGGGGUCACUGCCCUCAAGGAGGCACCUGGAGGGGGGGAUGGCGUCCACUCCGAUGGGGAAUGAGGGGGAGAAGAAGAGCAGCUGGCCAUCUCAAGCUGCACCCUCCUUGAGAGGAGGUCCGGCUUCGUUAUCUCGUUCUGAGGAAUACCUGUCCCAGAUCAGUGCAGAACUCAUGGAGGAGGCUUUGUGCACUGCUUGCUGCCACUUGAACCCUGUGCCCAUCAAAAAAAAGCAGUCACAAGACCAAGCGACUCAGAUAUCCAAACGCGCAUUCUUCACCAAGACCUGAGGCACAGACACCUGGUGAGUGAGGCUUCAAGGGAGAUACCUCCUGCCAACUCCUG
Molecule: long non-coding RNA, 491 nt
Filed under: Homo sapiens (human)
Lineage: Eukaryota; Metazoa; Chordata; Mammalia; Primates; Hominidae
Description: non-protein coding lnc-MVP-3:1
Source: RNAcentral